CUUUUUGUUUUUAUCUGUUGUUGGUGUAAAUAAUUUGUUUAUCAUAUAUUUUUAUAUGCACUGUGACUAUCUUUUGCUCAUAAUAAACAUUCAUUUAUUAAGUUUUGCCUUUGUCUGGUUAAGAAUCAUGUUACCUGAAGAGACUAGUUAGUAUUUUUAUAAUUCCUUAAAUAUUGUACUAAGUAAUAUUUGGUGGGUUUUAUUAUUGAUUUACCUGGGG
Pelobates cultripes (western spadefoot toad) is the source of this 220-nucleotide non-coding RNA. NCBI's taxonomy places the organism in Eukaryota, Metazoa, Chordata, Amphibia, Anura, Pelobatidae. The record is from the annotation of a GenBank genome assembly.